GACGAACGCUGGCGGCGUGCUUAACACAUGCAAGUCGAACGCUGAAGCUUGGUGCUUGCCCUGGGUGGAUGAGUGGCGAACGGGUGAGUAAUACGUGAGUAACCUGCCCUUGACUCUGGGAUAAGCCUGAGAAACUGGGUCUAAUACUGGAUACGACAUGUCACCGCAUGGUGGUGUGUGGAAAGGGUUUUACUGGUUUUGGAUGGGCUCACGGCCUAUCAGCUUGUUGGUGGGGUAAUGGCUCACCAAGGCGACGACGGGUAGCCGGCCUGAGAGGGUGACCGGCCACACUGGGACUGAGACACGGCCCAGACUCCUACGGGAGGCAGCAGUGGGGAAUAUUGCACAAUGGGCGGAAGCCUGAUGCAGCGACGCCGCGUGAGGGAUGACGGCCUUCGGGUUGUAAACCUCUUUCAGCACGGAAGAAGCGAAAGUGACGGUACGUGCAGAAGAAGCGCCGGCUAACUACGUG
RNAcentral lists this ribosomal RNA (472 nucleotides) under uncultured bacterium. RNAcentral's name for it is "partial 16S ribosomal RNA". It matches the Rfam family "Bacterial small subunit ribosomal RNA", at positions 28 to 507 of the family's 1533-position model. The record is from RNAcentral.